GAGGGUAUAGCUCAAGUGGUAGAGCACAUGCUUAGCAUACAUGAGGUCCUGGGUUCAAUCCACAGUAUCUCCU
RNAcentral lists this transfer RNA (73 nucleotides) under Camelus bactrianus (Bactrian camel). It matches the Rfam family "tRNA". From Rfam's summary of the family: Transfer RNA (tRNA) molecules are approximately 80 nucleotides in length. The record is from Rfam by way of RNAcentral. Lineage: Eukaryota; Metazoa; Chordata; Mammalia; Artiodactyla; Camelidae. RNAcentral also lists the same sequence under 2 other names.